This 479-nucleotide ribosomal RNA is filed under the name uncultured anaerobic ammonium-oxidizing bacterium. RNAcentral describes it as "bacterial SSU rRNA". It matches the Rfam family "Bacterial small subunit ribosomal RNA", at positions 364 to 833 of the family's 1533-position model. The record is from RNAcentral.
UUUCGCAAUGCCCGAAAGGGUGACGAAGCGACGCCGCGUGAGUGAGGAAGGCCUUCGGGUUGUAAAGCUCUGUCAGGAGUUAAGAAAUAUAAGUGUGCUAAUACCACAUUUAUUUGACGAAGGCUCCAAAGGAAGCCACGGCUAACUCUGUGCCAGCAGCCGCGGUAAUACAGAGGUGGCAAGCGUUGUUCGGAAUUAUUGGGCGUAAAGAGCACGUAGGUGGGUUUGUAAGUCAGAUGUGAAAGCCUUCUGUUCAACGGAAGAAUUGCAUCUGAAACUGCGAGUCUUGAGUGUAGGAGGGGAGAAUGGAACUUCUGGUGGAGCGGUGAAAUGCGUAGAUAUCAGAAGGAACGCCGGCGGCGAAAGCGAUUCUCUGGCCUAUUACUGACACUCAGUGUGCGAAAGCUAGGGGAGCAAACGGGAUUAGAUACCCCGGUAGUCCUAGCCGUAAACGAUGGGCACUAAGUAGAGGGGUUUUA